GAUGAACGCUGGCGGCGUGCCUAACACAUGCAAGUCGAGCGGACAGACGAUGAUCUUGCUCGUCUGACGUUAGCGGCGGGCGGGUGAUUAACACGUGUAUACCCUACCUAUAAGACUGAUAUAACUACGGGAAACCGGAUCUAAUACCGGAUAAGAUAUUGAACCGCGGGGGUCGUUGGAGAAAGACGGUUUUGCUGUCACUAAUAGCGGGAUCCGGGCUGGAUUAGCUAGUUGGUAAGGUCACGGCUUACCAAGGCAACGAUGCGUAGCCGAACUGAGAGGGUGAUCGGCCACACUGGAACUGAGACACGGUCCAGACUCCUACGGGAGGCAGCAGUAGGGAAUAUUCGGCAAUGGGCGAAAGCCUGACGCAGCAACGCCGCGUGAGUGAUGAAGGUCUUCGGAUCGUAAAGCUCUGUUAUUAGGGAAGAACAACUGUGUAAGUAAACAUGCCCGUCUUGACGGUACCAAAUCAGAAAGCAACGGCUAACUACGUG
This 497-nucleotide ribosomal RNA is filed under the name uncultured bacterium. RNAcentral's name for it is "partial 16S ribosomal RNA". It matches the Rfam family "Bacterial small subunit ribosomal RNA", at positions 28 to 507 of the family's 1533-position model. The record is from RNAcentral.